AAGAGGAGCUUGCUUUUCUUAGCUUAGUGGCGAACGGGUGAGUAACGCGUGAGUAACCUGCCCUGGAGUGGGGGACAACAGUUGGAAACGACUGCUAAUACCGCAUGACGCAUUUUGAUCGCAUGGUCGAAAUGCCAAAGAUUUAUCGCUGAAAGAUGGCCUCGCGUCUGAUUAGAUAGUUGGCGGGGUAAUGGCCCACCAAGGCGACGAUCAGUAGCCGGCCUGAGAGGGUGAACGGCCACAUUGGGACUGAGACACGGCCCAAACUCC
Molecule: ribosomal RNA, 270 nt
Filed under: uncultured Eubacteriales bacterium
Lineage: Bacteria; Bacillati; Bacillota; Clostridia; Eubacteriales
Description: uncultured Clostridiales bacterium partial 16S ribosomal RNA
Rfam family: Bacterial small subunit ribosomal RNA
Source: RNAcentral